RNAcentral lists this ribosomal RNA (400 nucleotides) under uncultured bacterium. Its description in RNAcentral is "bacterial SSU rRNA". It matches the Rfam family "Bacterial small subunit ribosomal RNA", at positions 355 to 772 of the family's 1533-position model. The record is from RNAcentral.
UGGGGAAUAUUGCACAAUGGGCGAAACCCUGAUGCAGCGACGCCGCGUGAGCGAUGAAGCCCUUCGGGGUGUAAAGCUCUUUCGACCCGGAAGAUAGUGACGGUACGGGGAGAAGAAGCUGCGGCUAACUACGUGCCAGCAGCCGCGGUAAUACGUAGGCAGCGAGCGUUGUUCGGAGUUACUGGGCGUAAAGCGUGCGUAGGCGGUGAUCCAAGUCUGGUGUGAAAUCUCCCGGCUCAACCGGGAGGGUGCGCCGGAAACUGGAUUGCUAGAGUGCGGGAGAGGCAAGCGGAAUUCCCGGUGUAGCGGUGAAAUGCGUAGAGAUCGGGAGGAACACCUGCGGUGUAGACGGCUUGCUGGACCGCCACUGACGCUGAGGCACGAAAGCGUGGGGAGCAAA